UACGUAGGGGGCAAGCGUUGUCCGGAAUCAUUGGGCGUAAAGAGCGUGUAGGCGGCCCGAUAAGUCCGCUGUGAAAGUCCAGGGCUCAACCCUGGAAUGCCGGUGGAUACUGUCGGGCUCGAGUUCGGAAGAGGUGAGUGGAAUUCCAGGUGUAGCGGUGAAAUGCGUAGAUAUCUGGAGGAAUACCGGUGGCGAAGGCGGCAUCCUGGACCGACAUUGACGCUGAUGAGCGAAAGCUAGGGGAGCAAACGGG
This 253-nucleotide ribosomal RNA is filed under the name uncultured bacterium. RNAcentral describes it as "partial 16S ribosomal RNA". It matches the Rfam family "Bacterial small subunit ribosomal RNA", at positions 524 to 776 of the family's 1533-position model. The record is from RNAcentral.